This 506-nucleotide ribosomal RNA is filed under the name uncultured bacterium. RNAcentral describes it as "bacterial SSU rRNA". It matches the Rfam family "Bacterial small subunit ribosomal RNA", at positions 107 to 598 of the family's 1533-position model. The record is from RNAcentral.
UGAGUAUCACGUGGGUAACCUGCCUGUAAGCUUGGGAUAACUCCGGGAAACCGGUGCUAAUACCAAAUGACAUUUCUGUUCGCAUGAACGGAAAAUAAAAGGCGGCUUUUGCUGUCACUUACAGAUGGACCCGCGUCGCAUUAGCUAGUUGGUGGGGUAAAGGCUCACCAAAGCAACGAUGCGUAGCCGACCUGAGAGGGUGAUCGGCCACACUGGGACUGAGACACGGCCCAGACUCCUACGGGAGGCAGCAGUAGGGAAUCUUCCGCAAUGGACGAAAGUCUGACGGAGCAACGCCGCGUGAGUGAUGAAGGUUUUCGGAUCGUAAAACUCUGUUGUUAGGGAAGAAUAAGUACUAACCGAAUAAGUUGGUACCCUGACGGUACCUAACCAGAAAGCCCCGGCUAACUACGUGCCAGCAGCCGCGGUAAUACGUAGGGGGCAAGCGUUGUCCGGAAUUAUUGGGCGUAAAGGGCGCGCAGGCGGUUUCUUAAGUCUGAUGUGAA